Molecule: transfer RNA, 72 nt
Filed under: bacterium
Lineage: Bacteria
Description: tRNA-Arg
Rfam family: tRNA
About the family: Transfer RNA (tRNA) molecules are approximately 80 nucleotides in length. Their secondary structure includes four short double-helical elements and three loops (D, anti-codon, and T loops). Further hydrogen bonds mediate the characteristic L-shaped molecular structure. tRNAs have two regions of fundamental functional importance: the anti-codon, which is responsible for specific mRNA codon recognition, and the 3' end, to which the tRNAs corresponding amino acid is attached (by aminoacyl-tRNA synthetases). tRNAs cope with the degeneracy of the genetic code in two manners: having more than one tRNA (with a specific anti-codon) for a particular amino acid; and 'wobble' base-pairing, i.e. permitting non-standard base-pairing at the 3rd anti-codon position.
Source: RNAcentral
GUUCCUGUAGUUCAAUGGAUAGAAUACCGGCCUCCGAAGCCGGAUAUGCGAGUUCGAUUCUCGCCAGGAACG